Molecule: ribosomal RNA, 253 nt
Filed under: uncultured bacterium
Lineage: Bacteria
Description: partial 16S ribosomal RNA
Rfam family: Bacterial small subunit ribosomal RNA
Source: RNAcentral
UACAGAGGGUGCAAGCGUUGUUCGGAAUUAUUGGGCGUAAAGCGCGUGUAGGCGGCUUUGCAAGUCGGGUGUGAAAGCCCUCAGCUUAACUGAGGAAGUGCGCCCGAAACUGCAGAGCUUGAGUACCGGAGAGGAUGGCGGAAUUCCCCAAGUAGAGGUGAAAUUCGUAGAUAUGGGGAGGAACACCGGUGGCGAAGGCGACACGCUGGGUCAUACCUGACGCUAAAACGCGACAGCAUGGGGAGCGAACGGG